GACGAACGCUGGCGGCGUGCCUAAUACAUGCAAGUAGAACGCUGAAGGAGGAGCUUGCUUCUCUGGAUGAGUUGCGAACGGGUGAGUAACGCGUAGGUAACCUGCCUGGUAGCGGGGGAUAACUAUUGGAAACGAUAGCUAAUACCGCAUAAGAGUAGAUGUUGCAUGACAUUUACUUAAAAGGUGCAAUUGCAUCACUACCAGAUGGACCUGCGUUGUAUUAGCUAGUUGGUGAGGUAACGGCUCACCAAGGCAACGAUACAUAGCCGACCGGAGAGGGGGAGCGGCCACACUGGGACUGAGACACGGCCCAGACUCCUACGGGAGGCAGCAGUAGGGAAUCUUCGGCAAAGGACGGAAGUCUGACCGAGCAACGCCGGGUGAGUGAAGAAGGUUGUCGGAUCGUAAAGCUCUGUUGUAAGAGAAGAACGAGUGUGAGAGUGGAAAGUGCACACUGUGACGGUAUCUGAACAGAAAGGGACGGCUAACUACGUG
RNAcentral lists this ribosomal RNA (495 nucleotides) under uncultured bacterium. Its description in RNAcentral is "partial 16S ribosomal RNA". It matches the Rfam family "Bacterial small subunit ribosomal RNA", at positions 28 to 507 of the family's 1533-position model. The record is from RNAcentral.